AGUUUUUGGAAAAAAUGGAUCCAGGACCUUCAAAUUGGAGCUCAAAGUUUCUUGUUUCACAGCUCUUGGCACAACUGCAGCAACUUAGUUUUGCUUCUUCGUGAAGAUUUGCAUGUUUUCCUGGAGAUUUCCACUCUUAUUUUGAUUUCACAAGCAUUUGCAGGUAACUAUAGCUCCUUCCUUUGGUUAAUUUAAUGCCUUGCAUGAAGUUUUAAGCGAUCAUAUGAAUGUUCAUGGGUUUAAACUUGAGAUCUCAUUUCUUCUCAUUGAUUUAUGAUGCUAAGGGGUUUGUUUGGUGUUUAAAUGAGUCCACAAGACUAUAAGGAACAGCUAUGUUGAGAUCCGGCCUGUAAUACUGGUGAAAUCAUCCUCCGGCGAAGUUCCAGUCACUUUGGUGGAAAUUUUUCCAACUUUUGGCGGGUUGUGUUCUUGGUCCCGUCGGAAACUGGUUUCUUGUUAUUUCUUGCAAAUCUUGUUUGUCUUUCUUGUUUGAUCUUUCAAGAUGAUUUGGGUGCUGUUGGGUCAUAUUUUUGGUUCAAGACAUCGGUUGGAAUUCAUUUGUUAAGUUGGGUUUGUGGUUGGCUUUUAGCAUUUAGUUUAGAUAAGUUUCCAUUUGGGUUUGUUCAUUUUUUUUAAUGAAAAUGGCCAGCAUUUUUCUUUUGGGCUAUGGUGGUCCGUUCCAAGUGAUAAAAGAGAAUAAUGGUCCAAUUUGUUUUUCUCCACAUUUUGCCCAAAUUAGAAACGAAUUCUUUACAAUUUGGUCCCUAACUUUUUGAGUAAUUUUAUUGUAACCCUAAAAUUUUAGAUUUCUUUCACAUAAGUCCUUAAUUUGCAUUUUGGUCCAUGAACUUUAUUUUUACUUAUUUUUUACGCCUGAUCUUUUUGAGAAUUAUAAUUUGACUCCAAAAACUUUCUAAUUUUUUGCAAUUUAGUCCCUUUUUUUAUGUCUCAAUUAUAAUUAUUUCUCUUCUUUAAUUGCUAACUGUGUUUUAUUUAAAAGCACUUAAUUUGUAAAUUUUGGUUGAUUUAUG
Molecule: long non-coding RNA, 1031 nt
Filed under: Coffea arabica (coffee)
Lineage: Eukaryota; Viridiplantae; Streptophyta; Magnoliopsida; Gentianales; Rubiaceae
Description: long non-coding RNA (CARA_LNC000617)
Source: RNAcentral